GUCCCCGUCCUCUCGCGGCGGCUUUCCCUCGGUCCCCUCCGCCUCUCCUCCUUCCCUUCUCCGGCCUCCUCCCUCUUCUCGCCAGCCUCCCUCCUGGCCCUGCGCGCUCUCCCGUGCCUCUCCCUCCGCUCGUGUCAUUGUGUCAUUCUUUCUUUCCUCCUCGCUCCUGUCUCGGUACGUCUGUCCUUCCACUGCCGGCGUGUCCUCGUCCUCUGCGCUGGGGCGACGGGUCUUCGCGUCUUACUCUCUCUCUCCGCCGGCCCCCCUCCCUGUGUGUCCCCUGCCUGCUCCCGGGGCUCCAUCCUCCCCUUCUCCGGCCUCCUCCUUCCGCGUCUCCUCUCUCCUACACCUUCCCCAGGCAGGCUCUGCAGUUCCCGCUCCCUCUCGGCUCUCCCAGCCUCCCUCCCCUCGCUGAGGUUCGGUACCCCCGCCCCCCACUGGGGACUCGAAGGUGAAUCAGACCCAAACGUGCCCUUGCAGCGGGAGCUCACGGUGUGAUGGGAGAGACAGACCCAGCCGCAGACAGUCCCAUUCCGGGGUGAUGGGGUGUGACCGAGGGCGAGACCAGAGGCUGAGAGAGCCGGGGCGGAAGGAAUCCUCGCAGCAGGUCCACCAGGGGGGACCUCCAGAGAAGGCGUGGUUGUGGCGUGACCUCCAAGAACCAGAAGUUAGACCUGAAUUGUUGAGAGGGGCAGCAGUAAGGGCGUUCCAGGCCCAGGGCACAGCUUAAGCAAAGGCCCAAAGGCAGGAAACCAAGGUGAUUCCGGAGGACAACAAAGCAGUCAAGUCUGACUAGAGCGGUAGGGGCCGGGAGCCAAGGAGCGUAGAAGAAGCUGGGGUGAGUGGGCGGGGCCGUUCUCGGCGUGUCCAAGGCCAGGCUGGGAACUUAGUCUUCCCAGAGUGACAGGGAGCCACGGAGGGUUGUGAGCAAGGGGAGGGACGGGGAGAGAUGGAUGGGGUAGGACCAGCGGGCAGAGAGGACCCCGAGGGACUGGGCACUGCUGGGUUGUGGGUGAGGGUGAGGAGCCAGGGGAUGGGAGUUGUUCCCAGCGGGGAGCCAGGACGAAGAAGAGGGUGGAGGAGAGAGAAGACGACGCUGUGGGCAGCUUAGAACCUAGGGGAACGUUAGGGGCUGGGCACAUUUCGGCAGGACAUUCAGGCAGUAUAGAUUUAUGGUUCUAGGGCUUCCUCCCACCGUGCCCCCAGACAUCCAGUUCUCUGGGGACAACUUAUGCUUACAAAUUUCCUGCGCAUUUUUCCAGAGGAAUUCUUACACCUAUGCAAUAUGUUAUACCAUCCUCCUCUUUCUUGUCCCUAGAUGGAAUCACGUUAUUCUGCACCUUGCUUUAAAAAAAAAAAAAAAACACUAUGCCCCAAAGAUUCACCCACAUCCAUGCCGUUAGAGCUCCCUCAUUUGUUUAAAUGGCUCUAUAGUAUUCCCUUUAUUUAUCCAUAAUUCAUGCAAUCAGUUGAGAGACUGGGAGUUGAAACUAAUGAAUAUUGCCUAUUCAAAUCUUCUGGUUUGUGUGUUUUUUUAAAAUUGAUUCCAUUCAGUGUUUUUUAAGCCUCUGAAACCAGCUAUUUGAUAAAUACCUCCAGAUGUUUUAAUUUUUUUUUUAUAAUUACUACAGGGGUGCCCCCUUAUUUAGUUCCAUUUUCCAAAGUUUCAGGUAUCCACAAUGAACUAUAAUUUGAAACAUUAUACACAGAAAAUUCCAGAAAUAAUUGACAAGUUCUAAAUCGUGCGUUCAUCCAGGCAGUGUAACGAAAUCUUGCACCAUCAUUUCCGGAACCUCUGUCAUCCUGUGGACAGGUGUAUCCCCCUGUGUAUGCCACAUGCCCAUUCAGACUUUCAGUAGCUGUUUCAGAUUGAGUUAGCAGAUUGCCUUUUGUGAUACUUCAGGGUUGUGUUUUACACAAGCCUUAUUAUACUUAAUCGUGGUCCCCAAGUACAAGGAUAGUGAUGCUGGUAAUUUUAUUACAAAAUAUUGUUAUAAUUGUUCUAUGAUUGUUGUUAAGCUCUUAACUGUACAUAAUUUGUGAAUUAAACUUUAUCAUAUGUAUGCAUGUAUAGAAAAAAGAAAACAUAGAGCAUUUGGUACUAUCCAAGGUUUUAGAUGUUUAUUGGGGGUCUUGGAACAUAUCGUGUUCCCCCCAUGGUAAGGGGGGAAUACUUGGAUGACAGAAAUAAUAAUGUGAGAACCCAUACCCUUAUUGAAUGACUGCUAAGGGCAGUCCCUACACUAAGUAUUUGCUAUGCAUUACAUAAUUUUUCACAUGGCCACCAUGUUAUUAGAAACAGUUAUUAUUUCCAUGUAAGAACAAGGGACUUGAGGUUCUGAAUAAUGAGUUGCCCAAACUUACAAAGUCAGUGACAGAGCUGGAGACUUGAACCCAGGCCUCUCUGACUUGGGGUGGGGGUUCUUCCUCUGUGAAAAUGUGCUACUUCUAGGGGUUGAUGUUGUGCACAUGUGGACUUGUCAUGCCCACAAAUUCACGUGUGAUUCCAAAGGACCCUUUGUCAGACCCUGUACUUUGGUAUCUGGAAUUCUGUCCCUCUGCACUCACCUUACAUGCCCUGUGGUCAGGACAGGACAGCAGCUGCACAACCAUGCUGACCUUGUCCUGCCCUGAUCCUGGUGUGUUGUGAUUUCAGUGUCUGGGUCUGUCUCUGGGAAUACACUGAGGGCACAGUCUAGGUCUGAGUCAUCUCUGCAUCUUCAAAAUAUCACCCAACAUAGGUGUGGCUCAGAGCAGGGUCUCAGGAAAAUGAUAAGUGAAUGAAUAGGGGGAUGGGUUGUGCUGGGACUUUGAUGAAGUCCCUGGGAUAAGAGAACAUCAUUCCCAUAACUUCCUGAAACGUGAGGCCUCCAUUCCUAUCAGUUGGUAAGUCAUGGAGACUACUUUUGCCACCAUUCUCUAAUGUAUACAGUUCCAAAUCCCUCAGCAUGUGAGCCUCAGCUGUAACAAUUUCCACAAAGACUGAGACACUCCCAUCAGCCCUGGGGACUCAGGGACCCCUCACUCCCAUCCCUCUGAGACUCGAGGCUGGCAUUCCUGGCAGACAUUGGCUCACAGGCAUACUAGACCUUCUCUGCCUCCCUACAGCCGUAAUUCCCACAGCCCUUACACAUAGAGACUGCUAUUCUCUUGACACCCAAGUGCCACCAUUCUUGUUCCUGGGUUGGAACCAUACUCCAAUGGAAAAUAGAAAUUUUCUGCCCUUCACAAGGCCAUCCCCAAAUUUCUGAAAUGGGAACAGCUAAACAGGAAGACACCCUGAACCUGUUCCAAACUAGGUCUGAGUUUAGGACUCUGACAUUGAUACCAUGAAACAGGAGGCAGUGGGUCAUAAAGAACAUCAAAGUAAUGCAGAAUCCUCCUCGAAUGAGAGAUCAAGUCCAAACCCAGGGUAAUCCUUGAGCAGCACAUAAUCCUUACAGGUGGGAUAAUCCUCAGACCGGCAGAACAUAAAAACGCAGAUGAUCCAAAGGCCACAGAUGCUUCCAUGGCACUAUUAAAUAAUCCAAAAUGGUCACUUGCUCCUGUGGACUUGUAGGAAUUGGAGAUGGAGGCAUCAUUUUUGUUUUGGUGAAUGACAAAUCCCAUUCCCAUUAUCUCUUCUGGUCAAGGAGCCUGGGAGAUGGGUGUGGUUAUUUGGGGAGGGUCUCCCCACAGCCUUCCUCUUUGCAAUGGGCCAUACCUACUAAUUUUGAAAGAAAGCCCACAUUCACAUGACUUUUAAUAUAGUAUAUUGUUGUAAUUAUUCUGUUUUUAUUAUUGUUGAUCUCUUGCGGCGUUCAAUUUACAAGUUAAACUUUAUAAUAACUAUGUAUAGAGAAAAAAGAGUCUACCUAGGAUUCAGGACUAUCUGUGGUUUCAGAUCCACCGUGAGUCUUGCAAUGUAUUCCCAGUGAUGAGGGCGACGACUGUUUGAAGACACAGAAGAGACAUUGGAAAGAAGACCACGUGAAGAUGCAGACUGAAGCGAGGCGUCUACAUGCCAUGGAGCAGAAAGGAUUCCUACCAGCCUCCUUGAUUUCCAAAUCCCAUCCUCCACAACUGUAAGAGAAUAAAUU
This 4079-nucleotide long non-coding RNA is filed under the name Marmota monax (woodchuck). Lineage: Eukaryota; Metazoa; Chordata; Mammalia; Rodentia; Sciuridae. The record is from RNAcentral.